This 72-nucleotide transfer RNA is filed under the name Camelus bactrianus (Bactrian camel). It matches the Rfam family "tRNA". From Rfam's summary of the family: Transfer RNA (tRNA) molecules are approximately 80 nucleotides in length. Their secondary structure includes four short double-helical elements and three loops (D, anti-codon, and T loops). Further hydrogen bonds mediate the characteristic L-shaped molecular structure. tRNAs have two regions of fundamental functional importance: the anti-codon, which is responsible for specific mRNA codon recognition, and the 3' end, to which the tRNAs corresponding amino acid is attached (by aminoacyl-tRNA synthetases). tRNAs cope with the degeneracy of the genetic code in two manners: having more than one tRNA (with a specific anti-codon) for a particular amino acid; and 'wobble' base-pairing, i.e. permitting non-standard base-pairing at the 3rd anti-codon position. The record is from Rfam by way of RNAcentral. Lineage: Eukaryota; Metazoa; Chordata; Mammalia; Artiodactyla; Camelidae. RNAcentral also lists the same sequence under 2 other names.
GAAGGUAUAGCUCAGUGGUAGAGUGUGUGCUUAGCAUGCACAAGGUCCUCGGUUCAAUCCUCAGUAUCUCUA